GUGGGUAUAGCUCAAGUGGUAGAGCGCACGCUUAGCAUGCACAAGGUCCUGGGUUCAGUCCCCAGUACCUCCU
Molecule: transfer RNA, 73 nt
Filed under: Camelus bactrianus (Bactrian camel)
Lineage: Eukaryota; Metazoa; Chordata; Mammalia; Artiodactyla; Camelidae
Also listed under: 2 other names
Rfam family: tRNA
About the family: Transfer RNA (tRNA) molecules are approximately 80 nucleotides in length.
Source: Rfam by way of RNAcentral